CAUAGGAAUAGCAUUAUAUCUCACUGGGUUACAUUAGGAUCAAUUUAUUCUGUUAAGCACUAAGAGAAAGCACUAGAAAAAAAUUUAAAUGUAACAGAAAUAUUCUUAAAGGAAUUAAAAUGUUACACUGAAAAUAAUUCAUGUAAUGCAAAAGGAAAUAGUAAACGGGGAGCAAAAAAGACAGAAAGGAUAGGCAGUGGCACACACCUAUAAUCCCAGCUACUCAGGAGGCUGAAUUGGGCGUAUCACACAUUUGAGGACGACGUAGGCAACUUAAUAAGACCUUGUCUAAAAAGAAAAAAAUUAAAAGGACUAAAUGCACAGUGGUAAAGCAUCAUUGAUCUCAAUCCCUAAUAAACAUCCCCCAAGCCACAAAGGGACAUGAGGCAUAUAUAAAUCUUACUGUUUCAAUAAAAAUUAAACAGCCUAUUAAACAGUCCAAAGGCAGACACUAUCAGGUUGGAUAAAAAUCACAGAACAAGUACUUCCUGUUUGACAUUGACAGGACAUGUACUUGAGAUUCAACUAUACAAGCAGGUUGAAAUAAAAUGAAGGGGAAAAAAAGAAUGACUUAAUGACAGUUGCUGGUAAAUGGGUGGACCUGAAGUCUAUCAUGCAAAGUAAGAUAAGCCAAUCCCAGAGAACCAAAGGUCGAAUGUUCUCUCUGGAUGCUGACACACAACAAGUGGGGAGAAUAAUAGAAGUUUAGUGCAUUAGACAAAGAAGAUGAAGGGAAGGGAGCAGAGAUAGGAACAGGAAAGAUAGUGGAAUGAAUCUGACAUAACUUUCCAUUUACAUAUAUGAAUAUGCCACAGUGAAUUUCUACAUUCAUGUAUAACCACCAUGGGAUCCUAAUUAGAAUAAGAUGUACUCCAUGUUUGUAUAAAU
This 888-nucleotide long non-coding RNA is filed under the name Marmota monax (woodchuck). Lineage: Eukaryota; Metazoa; Chordata; Mammalia; Rodentia; Sciuridae. The record is from RNAcentral.